UACAACAAGGACCCCACCCCGUGUUGUAAAAUACUGAAAGAUCGAACCAGUAAAAUGCUACCGUCCCGUUGGGAACCUACGCGAAACUACACCCUAAUGAAAGCAAAAUUAACCGGGCCGGCAUCUAACUAGCCAGCUCGGGACUACUAGAAGGCAGACCAGCGGCAGUCCACCCACCCCAGCAGGGAGGCCCACAUCUCCCAAUCAGGAUCACCCAUUUAGUACAUGGUCCCCACCAAAUAAAUUGGCACCGCUUUGGGGAAGAAGGACACGUUUAGUGUGUCAAUAGUGAGGGCACCUAUCCGGCAUGGUAAAAUAACCGAUCC
Molecule: long non-coding RNA, 326 nt
Organism: Octopus sinensis (East Asian common octopus)
Lineage: Eukaryota; Metazoa; Mollusca; Cephalopoda; Octopoda; Octopodidae
Exons: 3
Source: RefSeq, a predicted model, not a curated record